CCACAUGUCAGCAAAAAUUGCUCCUAUCGCAUUGCUUUGGAUGUGUGUCUUUAUUGUUCCACCGUAUUAGUAAGAGAGUUUCAUCUUGGAGCAAUCCCAACACCAACAUCUGAAGAAAAGGAGGGAGAUAACCAACUCCAGAUACAGUUUGCUUCUUCUACUACAACGACUACUACUACUACUACUACUACUACUAUUAGUACUACUACUACUACUACAUCACAGUUCCGUACCGUUUAGUUCUGUCUUCCAUUAUAAAUCCUAGCAGCAGAGAUUACAUGUGAAGCAAAGCAAAAAAAAAAACAGAAAGAGGAAAAGGAAAGAAAAAAUUAAUAAGUAAAAACGUUAAUGAAAUAUUCAAUCAUGAGUUUGUGCAUGUCCUUGGCAUCUCAAAAAUCCCACAGGAAACAUUUACCAGAUAAAGAAUCUUGUAAAGAAACCUUUACAAAUGGGAGUGUAGAUACACCUAACCUAUCCAGUAAUAAUACAUUCAUUAUGAGUAUACAUUCAAAUCAGUUUUAUACAGUGGAAGUUGGUGAUUCUACAUUCACAAUCCUCAAACGGUACCAGAACCUUAAGCCAAUAGGAUCAGGUGCUCAGGGUAUAGUAUGUGCUGCCAUUGACAAUGUGAAACAAAUAAGUGUAGCAAUCAAGAAGCUAAGUAGGCCAUUCCAAAAUGUCACACAUGCUAAACGGGCCUAUCGAGAGUUUGUCCUUAUGAAACUAGUUAAUCACAAAAAUAUUAUAGGUCUCUUAAAUGCAUUCACACCACAGAAAACUUUAGAGGAUUUUCAAGAUGUGUACCUUGUUAUGGAACUAAUGGAUGCAAACCUGUGUCAGGUCAUACAGAUGGAUUUAGAUCAUGAAAGAAUGUCAUAUCUUCUCUAUCAAAUGCUAUGUGGAAUUAAGCAUUUGCAUUCAGCAGGGAUUAUCCACAGAGAUUUAAAGCCCAGUAACAUAGUGGUGAAAGCAGAUUGUACUCUGAAGAUUCUAGAUUUUGGUUUAGCACGGACAGCAGGUACUGGUUUUAUGAUGACACCAUAUGUAGUAACAAGAUAUUACCGUGCUCCAGAAGUCAUUCUUGGUAUGGGUUAUAAAGAAAAUGUUGAUAUCUGGUCAGUUGGCUGUAUUAUGGCUGAGUUGAUACGAGGUGGUGUACUAUUCCCUGGCACUGAUCAUAUAGAUCAAUGGAAUAAAAUAAUCCAACAGUUAGGAACGCCGUCUCAAGACUUCAUGUGUAGAUUACAGCCUACAGUUCGGAGCUACGUCGAGAACCGUCCCCGGUUUACAGGCUACACCUUUGAUAUUUUGUUUGCAGACUGUAUGUUCCCCGCAGAUAGCCGCGAACACCAAGGGCUGCAGGCUUCCGUGGCUAGAGAUUUACUGUCCAAGAUGCUGGUUGUUGAUCCCGAACGAAGGAUAUCCGUUGAUGAGGCAUUGAUGCACCCUUACAUCAAUGUUUGGUAUGAUGAAGGAGAAGUAAAUGCGCCUGCUCCUGGACCUUACGACCACUCUGUAGAUGAGAGAGAACACUCUGUAGAGGAAUGGAAAGAACUUAUAUAUGAUGAAGUAAAAAAAUAUGAAAACAAAGAUAAUCAAAUAACAAAUGCUAUGCAAAAUCUCUCAGGUAAGCUAAAAGUGUAGUUUGGGAAGAACCUACCACUGCCACAGCAUGAAGACAGGCAAGCAGAGAUCAUAUCGAUGGACCAACAAAUGACUCUGCCCCUAAGGACAGUGUAGCAACAGGCUCUCCAGGUCAGAACAGGCAUCGGUGACUGCUGUGUAUAUAUAUAUAUAUAUAUGUGUGUGUGUGUGUAUGUAUAUAUGUAUAUAUAUAUAUAUAUAUACACACACACACUCACACACACUCUCUUUCUCUCACACACAUACACAAAUAUAUAUAUAUACACACACACAUACAAACAUACACAAUGUAAAAAUACUACAGGCAUAAUUUAUUUGGGCUGACGAGCUGUUGCCUCCACCACCACUACCAUUACUACUACUUCUACUACUACUACUACUCUUACUACUACUACUACUACUACUACCACCUGUGCUGCACACUACUACUUCUACUUCGACUACUAUUAUUACUACUACUACUAUGUUAGAGGUUGUCCCUCCCCAUCACCACCACACCACUACCACCACCACGACCACCCUACUCUUACUGCAACCACUAAUUCCUUUGACAUCCUUUUCGUCACCACUCAUUGUCUCUCUCUCUGUUAUUAUUAUUAUUAUUGUUGUUGUUGUUGUUGUCUCUCUUCCUCUUUUUACUGUCAACUGCCACCUACCUACCUACCUACUUAUGUACAGCUGUGAAGGAAUCAUCAUCAUCAUCGUGGUCAUCUGUGAGAAGACACCUAACAAAAACAAGGGAACUUACUAGAAACAGCAGCCAAGUCCCCUCUUGAUAAAGAGAACAAUGCAUAACCUUUAUGUCAUCACUUAAUAAAAACAACAGCCAAAUCUCCCUUUGGUAGAGAGAAGGACAUAUUGGAUAGCCUCUGUGUCAUCGCUUGACAUUGUAGAAGUAGCAGCCAAAUAUCCCUUUGGUAAAGAGAAGGACACUUUGGAUAAGAUAGUCCUACAUAGCCUGCUAAAAACACAGGAUGGUUGUGGCUGGAAUGUUUUUGAUUAUAGGUCUACUCAAUCAGGCCUGACCUUGGGCUAAACAAUUACAACAACAGCAACCUUUAGCAUCACCGCUGCCACCACCGCUACCAACAACAACAACAACAUGACUGGACUGUGAGACAUGAGACUGGCUACAAGGGCAAAAACAUAUCAUUCCUGGUAAUGAACUAAGUUGAUGAUGAAGAUGAUGAUGAUAGCGGAUGAUUCUGUCCACAUCAUUUGCUUCCUCCUUCACUCCUGUCAAUAGACUGCAGGCAUCUUGUUAUCAAACUUGUUGAUGUCAUAAUCAGUGUUUUAGCCAUUAAGUUCUAAGGUGACUUAUUCAUUUAGCUAUUAUUUAUGUAUCCACUUCUCUAAGACACCUCUCUCUCUCUCUCUCUCUCUCUCUCCCUAUAUAUAUAUACAUAUAUAUAUA
RNA transcript from Octopus bimaculoides (California two-spot octopus), 3058 nucleotides. It is a transcript of the gene named stress-activated protein kinase JNK, with no coding region annotated. Lineage: Eukaryota; Metazoa; Mollusca; Cephalopoda; Octopoda; Octopodidae. The record is from RefSeq and is a predicted model, not a curated record.